GGGUUGUGAGGUUAAGCGACUAAGCGUACACGGUGGAUGCCCUGGCAGUCAGAGGCGAUGAAGGGCGUGCUAAUCUGCGAUAAGCGCCGGUAAGGUGAUAUGAACCGUUAUAACCGGCGAUACCCGAAUGGGGAAACCCAGUGUGAUUCGUCACACUAUCAUUAACUGAAUCCAUAGGUUAAUGAGGCGAACCGGGGGAACUGAAACAUCUAAGUACCCCGAGGAAAAGAAAUCAACCGAGAUUCCCCCAGUAGCGGCGAGCGAACGGGGAGGAGCCCAGAGCCUGAAUCAGCAUGUGUGUUAGUGGAAGCGUCUGGAAAGGCGCGCGAUACAGGGUGACAGCCCCGUACACAAAAGCGCAUGUGCUGUGAGCUCGAUGAGUAGGGCGGGACACGUGGUAUCCUGUCUGAAUAUGGGGGGACCAUCCUCCAAGGCUAAAUACUCCUGACUGACCGAUAGUGAACCAGUACCGUGAGGGAAAGGCGAAAAGAACCCCGGCGAGGGGAGUGAAAAAGAACCUGAAACCGUGUACGUACAAGCAGUGGGAGCACAGGUUUACCUGUGUGACUGCGUACCUUUUGUAUAAUGGGUCAGCGACUUAUAUUCUGUAGCAAGGUUAACCGAAUAGGGGAGCCGGAGGGAAACCGAGUCUUAAUUGGGCGUUAAGUUGCAGGGUAUAGACCCGAAACCCGGUGAUCUAGCCAUGGGCAGGUUGAAGGUUGGGUAACACUAACUGGAGGACCGAACCGACUAAUGUUGAAAAAUUAGCGGAUGACCUGUGGCUGGGGGUGAAAGGCCAAUCAAACCGGGAGAUAGCUGGUUCUCCCCGAAAGCUAUUUAGGUAGCGCCUCGUGAAUUCAUCUCCGGGGGUAGAGCACUGUUUCGGCUAGGGGGCCAUCCCGGCUUACCAACCCGAUGCAAACUGCGAAUACCGGAGAAUGUUAUCACGGGAGACACACGGCGGGUGCUAACGUCCGUCGUGAAGAGGGAAACAACCCAGACCGCCAGCUAAGGUCCCAAAGUCAUGGUUAAGUGGGAAACGAUGUGGGAAGGCCCAGACAGCCAGGAUGUUGGCUUAGAAGCAGCCAUCAUUUAAAGAAAGCGUAAUAGCUCACUGGUCGAGUCGGCCUGCGCGGAAGAUGUAACGGGGCUAAACCAUGCACCGAAGCUGCGGCAGCGACGCUUAUGCGUUGUUGGGUAGGGGAGCGUUCUGUAAGCCUGUGAAGGUGGCCUGUGAGGGUUGCUGGAGGUAUCAGAAGUGCGAAUGCUGACAUAAGUAACGAUAAAGCGGGUGAAAAGCCCGCUCGCCGGAAGACCAAGGGUUCCUGUCCAACGUUAAUCGGGGCAGGGUGAGUCGACCCCUAAGGCGAGGCCGAAAGGCGUAGUCGAUGGGAAACGGGUUAAUAUUCCCGUACUUGGUGUUACUGCGAAGGGGGGACGGAGAAGGCUAUGUUGGCCGGGCGACGGUUGUCCCGGUUUAAGCGUGUAGGUGUGUGUUCCAGGUAAAUCCGGUUCACUUUAACACUGAGGCGUGAUGACGAGGCACUACGGUGCUGAAGUAACAAAUGCCCUGCUUCCAGGAAAAGCCUCUAAGCAUCAGGUAACAUCAAAUCGUACCCCAAACCGACACAGGUGGUCAGGUAGAGAAUACCAAGGCGCUUGAGAGAACUCGGGUGAAGGAACUAGGCAAAAUGGUGCCGUAACUUCGGGAGAAGGCACGCUGACACGUAGGUGAAGUGAUUUACUCAUGGAGCUGAAGUCAGUCGAAGAUACCAGCUGGCUGCAACUGUUUAUUAAAAACACAGCACUGUGCAAACACGAAAGUGGACGUAUACGGUGUGACGCCUGCCCGGUGCCGGAAGGUUAAUUGAUGGGGUCAGCGCAAGCGAAGCUCCUGAUCGAAGCCCCGGUAAACGGCGGCCGUAACUAUAACGGUCCUAAGGUAGCGAAAUUCCUUGUCGGGUAAGUUCCGACCUGCACGAAUGGCGUAAUGAUGGCCAGGCUGUCUCCACCCGAGACUCAGUGAAAUUGAACUCGCUGUGAAGAUGCAGUGUACCCGCGGCAAGACGGAAAGACCCCGUGAACCUUUACUAUAGCUUGACACUGAACAUUGAGCCUUGAUGUGUAGGAUAGGUGGGAGGCUUUGAAGUGUGGACGCCAGUCUGCAUGGAGCCGACCUUGAAAUACCACCCUUUAAUGUUUGAUGUUCUAACGUGGACCCGUUACCCGGGUUGCGGACAGUGUCUGGUGGGUAGUUUGACUGGGGCGGUCUCCUCCUAAAGAGUAACGGAGGAGCACGAAGGUUGGCUAAUCCUGGUCGGACAUCAGGAGGUUAGUGCAAUGGCAUAAGCCAGCUUGACUGCGAGCGUGACGGCGCGAGCAGGUGCGAAAGCAGGUCAUAGUGAUCCGGUGGUUCUGAAUGGAAGGGCCAUCGCUCAACGGAUAAAAGGUACUCCGGGGAUAACAGGCUGAUACCGCCCAAGAGUUCAUAUCGACGGCGGUGUUUGGCACCUCGAUGUCGGCUCAUCACAUCCUGGGGCUGAAGUAGGUCCCAAGGGUAUGGCUGUUCGCCAUUUAAAGUGGUACGCGAGCUGGGUUUAGAACGUCGUGAGACAGUUCGGUCCCUAUCUGCCGUGGGCGCUGGAGAACUGAGGGGGGCUGCUCCUAGUACGAGAGGACCGGAGUGGACGCAUCACUGGUGUUCGGGUUGUCAUGCCAAUGGCACUGCCCGGUAGCUAAAUGCGGAAGAGAUAAGUGCUGAAAGCAUCUAAGCACGAAACUUGCCCCGAGAUGAGUUCUCCCUGAGACUUAAAGUCUCCUGAAGGAACGUUGAAGACGACGACGUUGAUAGGCCGGGUGUGUAAGCGCAGCGAUGCGUUGAGCUAACCGGUACUAAUGAACCGUGAGGCUUAACCUUACAACGCCGAAG
RNAcentral lists this ribosomal RNA (2929 nucleotides) under Salmonella enterica. Its description in RNAcentral is "bacterial LSU rRNA". It matches the Rfam family "Bacterial large subunit ribosomal RNA". Lineage: Bacteria; Pseudomonadati; Pseudomonadota; Gammaproteobacteria; Enterobacterales; Enterobacteriaceae. The record is from RNAcentral.